RNAcentral lists this ribosomal RNA (187 nucleotides) under Salmonella bongori. RNAcentral describes it as "partial 16S ribosomal RNA". It matches the Rfam family "Bacterial small subunit ribosomal RNA", at positions 1 to 181 of the family's 1533-position model. The record is from RNAcentral. Lineage: Bacteria; Pseudomonadati; Pseudomonadota; Gammaproteobacteria; Enterobacterales; Enterobacteriaceae.
AAAUUGAAGAGUUUGAUCAUGGCUCAGAUUGAACGCUGGCGGCAGGCCUAACACAUGCAAGUCGAACGGUAACAGGAAGCAGCUUGCUGCUUUGCUGACGAGUGGCGGACGGGUGAGUAAUGUCUGGGAAACUGCCUGGUGGAGGGGGAUAACUACUGGAAACGGUGGCUAAUACCGCAUAACGUCG